This 204-nucleotide ribosomal RNA is filed under the name Paracoccaceae bacterium. RNAcentral describes it as "Rhodobacteraceae bacterium partial 16S ribosomal RNA". It matches the Rfam family "Bacterial small subunit ribosomal RNA", at positions 1 to 216 of the family's 1533-position model. The record is from RNAcentral. Lineage: Bacteria; Pseudomonadati; Pseudomonadota; Alphaproteobacteria; Rhodobacterales; Paracoccaceae.
UCAACUUGAGAGUUUGAUCCUGGCUCAGAACGAACGCUGGCGGCAGGCCUAACACAUGCAAGUCGAGCGCUACUUUCGGGUGGAGCGGCGGACGGGUUAGUAACGCGUGGGAAUAUACCCUUUUCUAAGGAAUAGCCACUGGAAACGGUGAGUAAUACCUUAUACGCCCUUCGGGGGAAAGAUUUAUCGGUAAAGGAUUAGCCC